GAUGGUGAGAGUGGCGCACGGGUGCGUAACGCGUGAGCAACCUACCUCUAUCAGGGGGAUAGCCUCUCGAAAGAGAGAUUAAGACCGCAUAACAUCAACAGUUCGCAUGUUCGGUUGAUUAAAUAUUUAUAGGAUAGAGAUGGGCUCGCGUGACAUUAGCUAGUUGGUAGGGUAACGGCUUACCAAGGCGACGAUGUCUAGGGGCUCUGAGAGGAGAAUCCCCCACACUGGUACUGAGACACGGACCAGACUCCUACGGGAGGCAGCAGUAAGGAAUAUUGGUCAAUGGGCGGAAGCCUGAACCAGCCAUGCCGCGUGCAGGAUGACUGCCCUAUGGGUUGUAAACUGCUUUUGUCCAGGAAUAACCCCAGAUACGAGUAUCUGGCUGAAUGUACUGGAAGAAUAAGGAUCGGCUAACUCCGUGCCAGCAGCCGCGGUAAUACGGAGGAUCCGAGCGUUAUCCGGAUUUAUUGGGUUUAAAGGGUGCGUAGGCGGCCUGUUAAGUCAGGGGUGAAAUACGGUGGCUCAACCAUCGCAGUGCCUUUGAUACUGACGGGCUUGAAUCCAUUUGAAGUGGGCGGAAUAAGACAAGUAGCGGUGAAAUGCAUAGAUAUGUCUUAGAACUCCGAUUGCGAAGGCAGCUCACUAAGCUGGUAUUGACGCUGAUGCACGAAAGCGUGGGGAUCGAACAGGAUUAGAUACCCUGGUAGUCCACGCCCUAAACGAUGAUAACUCGAUGUUGGCGAUAGACAGCCAGCGUCCCAGCGAAAGCGUUAAGUUAUCCACCUGGGGAGUACGCCCGCAAGGGUGA
This 811-nucleotide ribosomal RNA is filed under the name Sphingobacterium multivorum. RNAcentral describes it as "bacterial SSU rRNA". It matches the Rfam family "Bacterial small subunit ribosomal RNA", at positions 85 to 897 of the family's 1533-position model. Lineage: Bacteria; Pseudomonadati; Bacteroidota; Sphingobacteriia; Sphingobacteriales; Sphingobacteriaceae. The record is from RNAcentral.